Molecule: ribosomal RNA, 1515 nt
Filed under: Bacteroides fragilis str. DS-208
Lineage: Bacteria; Pseudomonadati; Bacteroidota; Bacteroidia; Bacteroidales; Bacteroidaceae
Description: bacterial SSU rRNA
Rfam family: Bacterial small subunit ribosomal RNA
Source: RNAcentral
GAGUUUGAUCCUGGCUCAGGAUGAACGCUAGCUACAGGCUUAACACAUGCAAGUCGAGGGGCAUCAGGAAGAAAGCUUGCUUUCUUUGCUGGCGACCGGCGCACGGGUGAGUAACACGUAUCCAACCUGCCCUUUACUCGGGGAUAGCCUUUCGAAAGAAAGAUUAAUACCCGAUGGCAUAAUGAUUCCGCAUGGUUUCAUUAUUAAAGGAUUCCGGUAAAGGAUGGGGAUGCGUUCCAUUAGGUUGUUGGUGAGGUAACGGCCCACCAAGCCUUCGAUGGAUAGGGGUUCUGAGAGGAAGGUCCCCCACAUUGGAACUGAGACACGGUCCAAACUCCUACGGGAGGCAGCAGUGAGGAAUAUUGGUCAAUGGGCGCUAGCCUGAACCAGCCAAGUAGCGUGAAGGAUGAAGGCUCUAUGGGUCGUAAACUUCUUUUAUAUAAGAAUAAAGUGCAGUAUGUAUACUGUUUUGUAUGUAUUAUAUGAAUAAGGAUCGGCUAACUCCGUGCCAGCAGCCGCGGUAAUACGGAGGAUCCGAGCGUUAUCCGGAUUUAUUGGGUUUAAAGGGAGCGUAGGUGGACUGGUAAGUCAGUUGUGAAAGUUUGCGGCUCAACCGUAAAAUUGCAGUUGAUACUGUCAGUCUUGAGUACAGUAGAGGUGGGCGGAAUUCGUGGUGUAGCGGUGAAAUGCUUAGAUAUCACGAAGAACUCCGAUUGCGAAGGCAGCUCACUGGACUGCAACUGACACUGAUGCUCGAAAGUGUGGGUAUCAAACAGGAUUAGAUACCCUGGUAGUCCACACAGUAAACGAUGAAUACUCGCUGUUUGCGAUAUACAGUAAGCGGCCAAGCGAAAGCAUUAAGUAUUCCACCUGGGGAGUACGCCGGCAACGGUGAAACUCAAAGGAAUUGACGGGGGCCCGCACAAGCGGAGGAACAUGUGGUUUAAUUCGAUGAUACGCGAGGAACCUUACCCGGGCUUAAAUUGCAGUGGAAUGAUGUGGAAACAUGUCAGUGAGCAAUCACCGCUGUGAAGGUGCUGCAUGGUUGUCGUCAGCUCGUGCCGUGAGGUGUCGGCUUAAGUGCCAUAACGAGCGCAACCCUUAUCUUCAGUUACUAACAGGUCAUGCUGAGGACUCUGGAGAGACUGCCGUCGUAAGAUGUGAGGAAGGUGGGGAUGACGUCAAAUCAGCACGGCCCUUACGUCCGGGGCUACACACGUGUUACAAUGGGGGGUACAGAAGGCAGCUAGCGGGUGACCGUAUGCUAAUCCCAAAAGCCUCUCUCAGUUCGGAUCGAAGUCUGCAACCCGACUUCGUGAAGCUGGAUUCGCUAGUAAUCGCGCAUCAGCCACGGCGCGGUGAAUACGUUCCCGGGCCUUGUACACACCGCCCGUCAAGCCAUGGGAGCCGGGGGUACCUGAAGUACGUAACCGCAAGGAUCGUCCUAGGGUAAAACUGGUGACUGGGGCUAAGUCGUAACAAGGUAGCCGUACCGGAAGGUGCGGCUGGAACACC